Small nucleolar RNA from Cephalotus follicularis, 93 nucleotides. It matches the Rfam family "Small nucleolar RNA Z266". From Rfam's summary of the family: Z266 is a member of the C/D class of snoRNA which contain the C (UGAUGA) and D (CUGA) box motifs. Most of the members of the box C/D family function in directing site-specific 2'-O-methylation of substrate RNAs. The record is from Rfam. Lineage: Eukaryota; Viridiplantae; Streptophyta; Magnoliopsida; Oxalidales; Cephalotaceae.
GGAUGGCAAGAAUGAUGAAUCAAUUAGAUGAGUGAAUGAAAUUCCUCAUUGUGAACUUAACCUUUGAGGCAUAUCAUUUCUGACUUGCCUUUA